RNAcentral lists this RNase P RNA (449 nucleotides) under Candidatus Peribacteraceae bacterium. Its description in RNAcentral is "RNase P RNA component class A". It matches the Rfam family "Bacterial RNase P class A". From Rfam's summary of the family: Ribonuclease P (RNase P) is a ubiquitous endoribonuclease, found in archaea, bacteria and eukarya as well as chloroplasts and mitochondria. Its best characterised activity is the generation of mature 5'-ends of tRNAs by cleaving the 5'-leader elements of precursor-tRNAs. The record is from RNAcentral. Lineage: Bacteria; Candidatus Peregrinibacteriota; Candidatus Peribacteria; Candidatus Peribacterales.
CCUGCUCUUUGAGAUGAUCGCCCCUUUAGUGGGGAGGAACGUCCGGACAUCACGUACUACAACGCUUUGCGUUGAGUACAUGACAGGCCACGCAAGUGAUCUGUCAUGGAACACCAUGUGGGUAACACCCAUCCAUGCGUCAUAUAUACGGUAAAGACGUGUGAGGACCAGUGCCACAGAGACGAGCCCAAAGACGCCGAAAGGCCGACUUGGGGACAUGAAACGACUCCGGCUUGAACGGAGUACUGGCUUUACCUUCGGGUACUGCCUUUCGGUAAACUCAUGGUGGUGCAAGGAGAAUUUGGAUGUCGAGAGCUAGUCCUGGUUCCGGGACUCUCGCAUGCCUCCGCUUGAGCCUUUUGGCAACAACUGGCCUAGAUAGAUGAUCAUCGGCCGUCUCUCGCAGGAGAGCUGAGCAACAAAAUCCGGCGUACCAGAGGGCAGGAUGA